RNAcentral lists this ribosomal RNA (404 nucleotides) under uncultured bacterium. RNAcentral's name for it is "bacterial SSU rRNA". It matches the Rfam family "Bacterial small subunit ribosomal RNA", at positions 390 to 786 of the family's 1533-position model. The record is from RNAcentral.
AGCCAUGCCGCGUGAGUGAUGAAGGCCUUCGGGUUGUAAAGCUCUUUCGGCGGGGACGAAAAUGACGGUGCCAAUACCGGAAGCCCCGGACAGUUCCGUGCCAGCAACCCCCGGCUUACUUCGGGCCCGCGGGUUCGGUAAUAUUAAUGGGGGUAACGUUAAUCUAAGUUACUGGGCGUGUAGGGUGUGAAAUCCGCUUGCUCAACCUGAAGUCAGAUCCCCGGACUCAACCUCUGAACUGCAUUUGAGACUGGUGGACUUGAGUGUGGGAGAGGGGAAUGGAAUUUUUUGUGUAGGAAUGCAAUUGGUAAAUGCGGCACACAACACCGAUAGUGAAGGUCAUCUCCUGAACCGUGACUGACGCUCAGGAUUAAAUAGGGGGGUAGUCAAAAGGAUUAAUUCCC